This 1341-nucleotide long non-coding RNA is filed under the name Fragaria vesca (wild strawberry). RNAcentral's name for it is "long non-coding RNA (FVES_LNC002894)". The record is from RNAcentral. Lineage: Eukaryota; Viridiplantae; Streptophyta; Magnoliopsida; Rosales; Rosaceae.
UCAAAUAAGCCACAAUCACAUGAAUACGGUAAAUACCGUUUAAACUAGUAGCAUAAGUAACAUGUGGAUUCGACUUACAAUAGACUUGUUAUAGUAUUAGUUGUUCAUUUAAGUGUGCUAGUUGUCACGAGCGAACUUUCAACUACGGGAUAUGACCCGUGCGGUAUCAAGGUUACUCUUAACCGAGACCAGUAUGUCGCAGUUUGUCAAGGUAUCCUUCCCGGAUAGCCUAUUUUCUUUUUCUCGUGUGUUUCCCGUGACAAUUUGACCCUUAACACUUCAUCUCCACACCUAUGGGGUUUCCCAAUGAAAGCUACUCACACAUGAGUCUCACCUCUCGUGACUAACCAAUCGCUUCCUUGUGUCAUUGUUGUCUCCCAAGACACUCGUCCAACCCAUAGGUUUCUCUGUCAUCCUGGCUUGUGUCAAUCUGUUGUUGACCAACGUGCACUUCGCACCUUGUAGCAAAGCCAAGGUGAUUAUCACACUAAGGGGGUGUAUUGUAAUUGGAUUCAUACAGACUAAUUUUAAUCAAUUGACUUUUUGAAAAGUCUAUAGACUCUUUGAAAAGUUCAAAGACUUUCACUGAUUUCUUAAAACCAUCGAUUUUUAAUCACAGACUUUAACUGAUUUCUGAAAUCUACAGAUUUCAUAUGAAUGACUUAUGUAAAUUUCUUAAUACUUACAGAGUUACAUAAAGAAAAAAAAUAAAGAUGCAAUGACAAACACAUAAUGACACCGAUUAUAAGUUUAGUACUCAUCUAUCUAAUUUCGAUGCAUACCGUUGUAAUAUUUGAUUGAAAUACAUAAACAUAAGUAACAAAAAAAACUAUAUUAACUUAACAACACGCAUACUUGUACGUUAACCAAAGACACAUAUUCUAAAGUGGGACAUUAGAUGUUCACAGUUUAAUUCAUGUACGCUAAUAUAAUAAUAUAUGAUCAUGUGGUUCUAAUAUUAAGAGUUAGUAUAUAACAUUUAGGUUAUCGAGGAUUCCAAGCAUUACAAUUGAAAUACAACAAAAUAUUAACAUUACAAAAAACAUUAGAAAAGAAUAGGUAGAAUAGAACAUUGAUAGCAACAAAAUAUUAAUAAAAAAGAAAAAAAAGAUGAUGUAUUGUAGGAUCAACCUAUUCACAUGUAAAGAGAAAGUCUACCGUAGACUUUUCCAAAUCUUUGCUCUAGUGGAUGNNNNNNNNNNNNNNNNNNNNGUAAUAUUUGAUUGAAAUACAAUAAACAAUAAGUAAACAAAAAAAAACUAUAUUAACUUAACAACACGCAUACUUGUACGUUAACCAAAGACACAUAUUCUAAAGUGGGACAUUAGAUGUUCACAGUUU